RNAcentral lists this ribosomal RNA (521 nucleotides) under uncultured bacterium. RNAcentral's name for it is "partial 16S ribosomal RNA". It matches the Rfam family "Bacterial small subunit ribosomal RNA", at positions 355 to 864 of the family's 1533-position model. The record is from RNAcentral.
UGGGGAAUAUUGCACAAUGGGCGCAAGCCUGAUGCAGCCAUGCCGCGUGUGUGAAGAAGGCCUUCGGGUUGUAAAGCACUUUCAGCGAGGAGGAAGGUGGUGAGCUUAAUACGCUCAUCAAUUGACGUUACUCGCAGAAGAAGCACCGGCUAACUCCGUGCCAGCAGCCGCGGUAAUACGGAGGGUGCAAGCGUUAAUCGGAAUUACUGGGCGUAAAGCGCACGCAGGCGGUUUGUUAAGUCAGAUGUGAAAUCCCCGGGCUCAACCUGGGAACUGCAUUUGAAACUGGCAAGCUAGAGUCUCGUAGAGGGGGGUAGAAUUCCAGGUGUAGCGGUGAAAUGCGUAGAGAUCUGGAGGAAUACCGGUGGCGAAGGCGGCCCCCUGGACGAAGACUGACGCUCAGGUGCGAAAGGCGUGGGGAGCAAAACAGGAUUAGAUACCCUGGUAGUCCACGCUGUAAACGAUGUCGAUUUUGGAGGUUGUGCCCCUUGAGGCGUGGCUUCCGGAGCUAACGCGUUAAA